RNAcentral lists this ribosomal RNA (301 nucleotides) under uncultured bacterium. RNAcentral's name for it is "partial 16S ribosomal RNA". It matches the Rfam family "Bacterial small subunit ribosomal RNA", at positions 509 to 807 of the family's 1533-position model. The record is from RNAcentral.
CAGUCGCCGCGGUAACACGAAGGGGGCUAGCGUUGUUCGGAUUUACUGGGCGUAAAGGGCGCGUAGGCGGGCUGAUAAGUCAGGGGUGAAAUCCCAAGGCUCAACCUUGGAACUGCCUUUGAUACUGUUUGUCUUGAGUUCGAGAGAGGUAAGUGGAACUGCGAGUGUAGAGGUGAAAUUCGUAGAUAUUCGCAAGAACACCAGUGGCGAAGGCGGCUUACUGGCUCGGAAUUGACGCUGAGGCGCGAAAGCGUGGGGAGCGAACAGGAUUAGAUACCCCCGUAGUCCCUGUCUCUUAUAC